CUCGCCUCACUGCUUCCACAGUUCAUAACAAUCCACGAUGACUGCAGAUGUGCUAUCGACAUGGAGUUCAGACGAUUGCUUCCAGUUUACGGCAAGAGACCACGAAACAACAGAGCCGAUCCAUCUUCCGCUUCCCAAAAGAGGACUUUGGCAAAUCUCUUCAAAAUCUUUUGGCAGCGUUUACAGCUACAGCUUACAGGUGGUAACCAAUAAAAAUGCCUGAAUGCAGCUUCAUGAUCACAGUUUUAUGAAGUCAAGUGGGACUCUUGCUUGGUGUCUGGAAAGAAGCCAGUGACUCUUGUUUUCAACAACUCACGACUAAAGGUUCAGCUUCAUGGGAAGUUAAAUGUUGAGGAGUGACUUAAGGGAGCUUGACUUUCUGUCUGCCAACAUCCUUAUCUUCCCCUGAUCUUACACUAAGUAUGUAAACACAGUGAAUGACAAAAUGAAUGUCUGCCAAAAAAUAACCAGAGAUGCCUUUCUCAACACUAAGCUGAUCAAAUCCCCUCUUGUUGAAAGAUGUAUUUAAGUCUGUUCAUGUGAUAUCAUCUAUUGCCA
This is a long non-coding RNA of Centropristis striata (black sea bass), 558 nucleotides long. RefSeq lists it as uncharacterized. The transcript is spliced from 3 exons. The record is from RefSeq and is a predicted model, not a curated record. NCBI's taxonomy places the organism in Eukaryota, Metazoa, Chordata, Actinopteri, Perciformes, Serranidae.